GCCUUUAUGAGCAAAGGGGCGUAAAGGGUGUGUAGGCCGACCGCCCCACCCCCCCCCAAGGUGGUAAAUGGAAUUUUUCUGUAGCGGUAGAAUGUGCGGAUAGAAAAUAGAACCCCAAAAGCUGAAGCAAUUUACCGCGGGGCGGGAGGGGGGGCCCCCUGGGGCGCCCCCCCGGGCUACGGGCUGAAACACGAGGGUGUGGGGAACAAACAGGAUUAGAGACCCUGGUAGUCCACACUGUAAACGAUGGAGAAAAUGCGAAUGCAGCCCCGAAAGGCAGCAAUCUCCCGCCUGAGUAGUACGAUCGCAAGAUUAAAAUUCCAAAAAUUUGGCUGUUCACCGUUUCGAUUAGAGGAGCGUGUAGUUUAAUUCGAUAAACCGCGAGAUACCUUACCCAAACUUGAAUCCUUGAGGAUUCCAAGGAAUCCUUAUGGACCGGUAUUGCAUGGCCGUCGUCAGUUCGUGUAUGAAACCUUAAACGGACCCAACCCGAGGAUUAGCCGCGGAUGAAGUCAGGUCUUAUGGUCCCAAUGUUUGGGGAUAAUAUGCGCUACAUUUUCUUAUACAAUGGGAAACCUGGGAGGUGAAACCCAAAAGUGAGAGUUCGGUAGGCUAUUGGAAGAUGGCCGAAAGUUGAAUUUAAUAGUAAUCGGAAAGUAUAGCGUUCCGGUGAAAUGAUCU
Molecule: ribosomal RNA, 681 nt
Filed under: Palythoa sp. 'Protopalythoa' FS-2005
Lineage: Eukaryota; Metazoa; Cnidaria; Anthozoa; Zoantharia; Sphenopidae
Description: partial 12S ribosomal RNA
Rfam family: Bacterial small subunit ribosomal RNA
Source: RNAcentral